RNAcentral lists this ribosomal RNA (462 nucleotides) under uncultured bacterium. RNAcentral's name for it is "bacterial SSU rRNA". It matches the Rfam family "Bacterial small subunit ribosomal RNA", at positions 47 to 507 of the family's 1533-position model. The record is from RNAcentral.
CUUAACACAUGCAAGUCGAACGAAUGGUAGAGGGCUUGCUCUCUAUCGUUAGUGGCGGACGGGUGCGUAACACGUGAGGAACAUACCCAUCGGCGGGGGAGUAGCCGGCCCAACGGCCGGGUAAUACCGCGUACGACCUUUUGAGCGCAUGCUCGAGGGGUGAAAGCAGCAAUGCACCGGUGGAGUGCCUCGCGGCCUAUCAGCUUGUUGGUGAGGUCGCGGCUCACCAAGGCGACGACGGGUAGCUGGUCUGAGAGGAUGGCCAGCCACAUUGGGACUGAGACACGGCCCAGACUCCUACGGGAGGCAGCAGUGGGGAAUAUUGCGCAAUGGCCGAAAGGCUGACGCAGCGACGCCGCGUGUGGGAUGAAGGUCCUCGGAUUGUAAACCACUGUCAGGAGGGACGAAUGCCGGGCAACCGGUUUGACGGUACCUCCAGAGGAAGCACCGGCUAACUCCGUG